ACAGUUUCGAGGUAGUGACGAGAAAUAACAAUACAGGGCAUUUUAUGCUCUGUAAUUGGAAUGAUGGGAAUGUAAAACCCUUCCAGAGUAACAAUUGGAGGGCAAGUCUGGUGCCAGCAGCCGCGGUAAUUCCAGCUCCAAUAGUGUAUAUUAGAGUUGUUGCAGUUAAAAAGCUCGUAGUUGGAUUUCUGUCGUGGUCAUCCGGCUCCGCCCGUAUGGGUGUGCGCCUGGUUUGCCCUCGGCUUUCUUCCGGUAGCCUUCCGCGCUUCACUGCGUGUGUUGGUGUUCUGGAACUUUUACUUUGAGAAAAAUAGAGUGUUUCAAGCAGGCUUGUCGCCCUGAAUACUUCAGCAUGGAAUAAUAAGAUAGGACCUUGGUUCUAUUUUGUUGGUUUCUAGGACCAAGGUAAUGGUUAAUAGG
RNAcentral lists this ribosomal RNA (420 nucleotides) under Eimeria jerfinica. Its description in RNAcentral is "SSU rRNA". It matches the Rfam family "Eukaryotic small subunit ribosomal RNA", at positions 453 to 876 of the family's 1831-position model. The record is from RNAcentral. Lineage: Eukaryota; Apicomplexa; Conoidasida; Eucoccidiorida; Eimeriidae.